GGGCGGGCUCGCUAGCACAUUCAGGGGGGACCGCGCGGUGCUGUCACGGUGACAUCAAAGGAGUCUGCAGGCCGUGGCCUGCUGAGUGACCUUGGGCAGGUGGCUUGGGCGCAGCUUAAGGGAGGUCACUGUGAUCGACAUGACGACAGGGCUUCCGGGGACUCCGGUAAGACUAAAGUGCACAGGAGGCCGGCACCCAGAUGACCGUGGGCCCGGGGGUGGCCUCGUGUCAGUAGGCACUCGGGGUGUGCACGCUCAGGUAGAUCGCAUCUGGAAAGCGGCUUGGGUUGGAGGCUGUCCUGUGCCCCCGAUUGCACCGCGGCCCUUAUCGAAGCUGCAGUUGCUUCCACAUAGCAGCUGUGGUCAAAAAGGAGCCCAGAGUGACAGUUUUCCCUGACGGUCGCCGUUCUGUUUGCUGUAACCGAUCUGCAACAUUUCAGGAAAAGACAGUCCUCGGGUUGAGCCGGAGAGCAGGGUUAAAGUGCACCCCACAGGCUGCCAGAGACGCGGGGUCUUGCAUGGAGGGGUCAGAGAGGCCUCGGAGAACAGCUGGCCAGACGGGGUAGCUGUGUGGGGGGAGGCGGCAGGGGAGUAGACGUUUGUCCUGUGAACUUCUGUCCAGAGGUGAUUCUUUGGGUCGCUGCCUCAGCGCUAGGACAUCAGGGUAAGGACCAAAAGCUGGGCAGGCCAGGAAAAGGGAGCAGGUGGACAGCUGUGUUCUCAUCGUAGGUGUGCCACGUGAUCCUGGCGGAUGUGGGGCAGUGAGGACCCCAGCGGCAUCCUCGGGCUGGUAGGUUUCUUGCUUGGGGCUGCUUGCCGGGACAGAACAGCAUGUUUCCAAGGGCUGUGGCUGGCUGUGGCCAUGGGAUCUCCAACUGCAUGCGAGAGCAACCUGGAGAGACUUUGACAGCUCAGGUCAGCACCGUACCUGCAGCUGCCACUCGCCUUUCCGAUAAUUUCAGGACUGGGUGGGGGUUCGUCCUAUUCGGAAGCCCUCACUCAGCUUUUUUUCUGCAGCCUGACCCGGUUUCUGAAGAGCCCAGCUUGCUGGCUUCUGGAGCCGUGCCUUUUUUAGACUAAGGUCUGUGCUACAGUGAAGCCCUGACAGGAUCUGCAGGGUUGGCUGACUACUGAAGGGUUAUAGCUCCAGGCAGUGGCCAGACUGUCUUUAAACAGUGCGGCAAACAGAAUGACACCAUUACUCAGGAGAAAACCAACGUGGGAAUGAAGUAGGCUGGCAUACAGGCUAAAACCGAUGAGGUUUCUGAACCGGAAGAUCACGCCUUUGCCAUGCCUCUGUGACCUCAUGCCCCUGCCUGGCCACACAUGGGUGCCCACUACCAGUCAGGCUAAUUAACCAAUUCACCUUUGGAAGUGGGUUAAAAGCCUGUGUCCUGCCCUUCUCUGUUUCCUGGCCUCUUGCCAGGAGGAGGCUGCGUCACCCACUCUAGGCUUCCUGACCCAGAUUCUCCUCCACAUGGCUGGUUACUGGUGCUCAGUAUGAACCCAGAUUUACCU
This is a long non-coding RNA of Lepus europaeus (European hare), 1518 nucleotides long. RefSeq lists it as uncharacterized. Lineage: Eukaryota; Metazoa; Chordata; Mammalia; Lagomorpha; Leporidae. The transcript is spliced from 3 exons. The record is from RefSeq and is a predicted model, not a curated record.